CCCUUAGAUGUUCUGGGCCGCACGCGUGCUACGCUGAUGCAUUCAACGAGUCUAAAACCUGGUCUGAUAGGGCUGGGUAAUCUUUUGAAAGUGCAUCGUGAUUGGGAUAGAUGAUUGCAAUUCUUCAUCUUCAACGAGGAGUGCCUAGUAAACGCAAGUCAUCAGCUUGCAUUGAUUACGUCCCUGCCCUUUGUACACACCGCCCGUCGCUCCUACCGAUUGAAUGAUCCGAUGAAUACCAUGGAUUGAGAGUACGAAUAGGUUCGCUUAUUUCUGCUGCUCGAGAAGUGGAGUAAAUCUUAUCAUUUAGAGGAAGGAGAAGUCGUAACA
RNAcentral lists this ribosomal RNA (330 nucleotides) under uncultured eukaryote. RNAcentral describes it as "partial 18S ribosomal RNA". It matches the Rfam family "Eukaryotic small subunit ribosomal RNA", at positions 1470 to 1796 of the family's 1831-position model. The record is from RNAcentral.